RNAcentral lists this ribosomal RNA (539 nucleotides) under uncultured Geobacteraceae bacterium. RNAcentral describes it as "partial 16S ribosomal RNA". It matches the Rfam family "Bacterial small subunit ribosomal RNA", at positions 9 to 526 of the family's 1533-position model. Lineage: Bacteria; Pseudomonadati; Thermodesulfobacteriota; Desulfuromonadia; Geobacterales; Geobacteraceae. The record is from RNAcentral.
GAGUUUGAUCCUGGCUCARAUUGAACGCUGGCGGMAUGCCUUACACAUGCAAGUCGAACGUGAUUCAGAGCUUGCUCUGAUGAAAGUGGCGCACGGGUGAGUAAYSCGUGGAUAACCUGCCCUGGUAUCUGGGAUAAMAUCUCGAAAGGGGUGCUAAUACCGGAUAAGCCCACGGGUUCUUCGGAAUCUGCGGGAAAAGAAGGCCUCUAUUUAUAAGCUUCCGUAUCAUGAUGGGUCCGCGUACCMUUASCUAGUUGGUGGGGKAAUGGCCUACCAAGGCGACGAUGGUUAGCUGGUCUGAGAGGAUGAUCAGCUACACUGGAACUGAKACACGGUCCASACUCCUACGGGAGGCAGCAGUGGGGAAUUUUGCGCAAUGGGGGAAACCCUGACSCAGCAACGCCGCGUGAGUGAUGAAGGCUUUCGGGUCGUAAAGCUYUGUCAGAGGGGAAGAAAUGAAACSUGCUAAUAUCACGUUUUCUUGACGGUACCCUCAAAGGAAGCACCGGCUAACUCCGUGCCAGCAGCCGCGGUAAUAC